AAAUGACUCUCGGCAACGGAUAUCUCGGCUCUCGCAUCGAUGAAGAACGUAGCGAAAUGCGAUACUUGGUGUGAAUUGCAGAAUCCCGUGAACCAUCGAGUCUUUGAACGCAAGUUGCGCCCGAGGCCUUUUGGCCGAGGGCACGUCUGCCUGGGCGUCACGGAU
RNAcentral lists this ribosomal RNA (165 nucleotides) under Anisophyllea corneri. Its description in RNAcentral is "5.8S ribosomal RNA". It matches the Rfam family "5.8S ribosomal RNA". From Rfam's summary of the family: 5.8S ribosomal RNA (5.8S rRNA) is a component of the large subunit of the eukaryotic ribosome. It is transcribed by RNA polymerase I as part of the 45S precursor that also contains 18S and 28S rRNA. The record is from RNAcentral. Lineage: Eukaryota; Viridiplantae; Streptophyta; Magnoliopsida; Cucurbitales; Anisophylleaceae.